GGCAUGCCUUACACAUGCAAGUCGAACCUUAGCACGGGAGCAAUCCUGGUGGCGAGUGGCGAACGGGUGAGUAAUACAUCGGAACGUGUCCUGUAGUGGGGGAUAGCCCGGCGAAAGCCGGAUUAAUACCGCAUACGCUCUACGGAGGAAAGGGGGGGAUCUUCGGACCUCCCGCUACAGGGGCGGCCGAUGGCAGAUUAGCUAGUUGGUGGGGUAAAGGCCUACCAAGGCGACGAUCUGUAGCUGGUCUGAGAGGACGACCAGCCACACUGGGACUGAGACACGGCCCAGACUCCUACGGGAGGCAGCAGUGGGGAAUUUUGGACAAUGGGGGCAACCCUGAUCCAGCAAUGCCGCGUGUGUGAAGAAGGCCUUCGGGUUGUAAAGCACUUUUGUCCGGAAAGAAAUCCCCUGCCCUAAUACGGGGGGGGGAUGACGGUACUGGAAGAAUAAGCACCGGCUAACUACGUGCCAGCAGCCGCGGUAAUACGUAGGGUGCAAGCGUUAAUCGGAAUUACUGGGCGUAAAGCGUGCGCAGGCGGUUCGCUAAGACAGAUGUGAAAUCCCCCGGGCUUAACCUGGGAACUGCAUUUGUGACUGGCGGGCUAGAGUAGGCCAGGGGGGGGUAGAAUUCCACGUGUAGCAGUGAAAUGCGUAGAGAUGGGGAGGAAUACCGAUGGCGAAGGCAGCCCCCUGGCCAAAUACUGACGCUCAUGCACGAAAGCGUGGGGAGCAAACAGGAUUAGAUACCUGGGUAGUCCACGCCCUAAACGAUGUCAACUAGUUGUCGGGUCUUCAUUGACUUGGUAACGUAGCUAACGCGUGAAGUUGACCGCCUGGGGAGUACGGUCGCAAGAUUAAAACUCAAAGGAAUUGACGGGGACCCGCACAAGCGGUGGAUGAUGUGGAUUAAUUCGAUGCAACGCGAAAAACCUUACCUACCCUUGACAUGGUCAGAACCCUGCUGAAAGGUGGGGGUGCUCGAAAGAGAACUGAUACACAGGUGCUGCAUGGCUGUCGUCAGCUCGCGUCGUGAGAUGUUGGGUUAAGUCCCGCAACGAGCGCAACCCUUGUCCCUAGUUGCUACGCAAGAGCACUCUAGGGAGACUGCCGGUGACAAACCGGAGGAAGGUGGGGAUGACGUCAAGUCCUCAUGGCCCUUAUGGGUAGGGCUUCACACGUCAUACAAUGGUCGGAACAGAGGGUCGCCAACCCGUGAGGGGGAGCCAAUCCCAGAAAACCGAUCGUAGUCCGGAUCGCACUCUGCAACUCGAGUGCGUGAAGCUGGAAUCGCUAGUAAUCGCGGAUCAGCAUGCCGCGGUGAAUACGUUCCCGGGUCUUGUACACACCGCCCGUCACACCAUGGGAGUGGGUUUUACCAGAAGUGGAUAGUCUAACCGCAAGGAGGACGGUCACCACGGUAGGACU
RNAcentral lists this ribosomal RNA (1428 nucleotides) under uncultured organism. Its description in RNAcentral is "SSU rRNA". It matches the Rfam family "Bacterial small subunit ribosomal RNA". The record is from RNAcentral.